CGAAGUUGGAUUCGCUAGUAAUCGCGCAUCAGCCAUGGCGCGGUGAAUACGUUCCCGGGCCUUGUACACACCGCCCGUCAAGCCAUGGGAGCCGGGGGCGCCUGAAGUCCGGGACCGCGAGGACCGGCCUAGGGCGAAACUGGUGACUGGGGCUAAGUCGUAACAAGGUACC
RNAcentral lists this ribosomal RNA (172 nucleotides) under uncultured bacterium. Its description in RNAcentral is "partial 16S ribosomal RNA". It matches the Rfam family "Bacterial small subunit ribosomal RNA", at positions 1321 to 1500 of the family's 1533-position model. The record is from RNAcentral.